Triticum aestivum (bread wheat) is the source of this 2050-nucleotide long non-coding RNA. RefSeq lists it as uncharacterized. The transcript has 3 exons. NCBI's taxonomy places the organism in Eukaryota, Viridiplantae, Streptophyta, Magnoliopsida, Poales, Poaceae. The record is from RefSeq and is a predicted model, not a curated record.
AAAACGCAGGCACGUUCUGCCUCCCGGCGCUCCGCCCCGCCCCACCAACCUCCUGCGACGCCCCACGCGCCGCCGGCCGCCUCCUGCCUCUCACCUCCUUCCCCGCCCCGCCCAGCACCGCCUCACCGCGUGCCGCCGGCUGGCUCCUGCCUCGCCAGGGUAAGAAAAAGGGGUCGCCUGCAUCCUCCCACCCGCACGCCUGCGCUCGCCUCGCCCCCACGGCUUCACUCUCUUGGCACCGGCGGCAGGCCAUCCUGCCACCCGACUCGCCUAGCCUGCACGGAGGCGGCCGAUGGAAGUUCGAUCUCCCCUUCCCCCUCACCCGCCAUCUACGACCACCAUCCUCACCGCCCCCUCCCUUACCUCAGCCCGAUCUAGACGCCUAACCCCUCUCAACCCUCUCUGAGCACAACCUGUUCCGUCGGCGGCAACAGCGCCUCCUUCUGGCCGGAUCAAGGCGUGGAGACCCAUGCUCCCCUCAUCUGGUUGAACACAGCUGAGCACAUAUGUUCCCUGCCUUUCUGCUACAUGUACGAACUGAAGCUUAUUGUGUACACUUUGGUUGCUUUUUUUAGAGAGAAAACACUCUGGUUGCAGGUAGAAUCAGAAAUCAAAGUCCACAGAGAUGCAUAUGUCAUGGGCGAAUGCAUGAUGUAAUAGAAUCCAGAGGACCUUCAGACUUGGUUCUCUGCUGGGGUGAAGGGUGUGAAGUGUUGUGCCGAGAUGCAGAUUCAGAGCCUUUUUUCUUUCCAAUUUGUACAUGCUCGGCAAUCCAGAACCGGUUUUACUUUUCCUUAAAGAAACUGAUUUAACUUUUUGCUGUCUCCUAGAGGGCGCUGAAUCAGGCUGAUGUGCGCUUGGCCAAACGAAGGAGCAGACAAUCACUCAGAAGAAAUUCAUCCGAGCUCUCAAGUUGAAGUCAAACUGGCCAGCUACGUUUCAAAGGUAACAUCUACUCCCUUUGUCUCAAAGUAUAAGAUUUUUUGGUCGAGAUAUAUACUGAGAUAGAGGGAGUAUAUAAUACAGUAAGUAAGAUGAUAGUUUGAUGUGUAGACAGGAAGAAAUCACACACAAUAGAUGCAGCUGGUAUUUUGGAAAUAAAGGCAGAGGUUUAAAUUCAGAACUGGGACUAAUUGGUUUGUAAUUUAUACAUGUCCCCAACAUGAAUACUGCAGUCUUUGUCAUAAGAUUUCCAAUGGUACUGAUUUUUUUUGAAUUAUAAUCUUUUAAAAGUAGAGCAAGAACAGGAUGUUGUCUAUCAGUUUUAACCAAGUGCAGAAUUUCGUUUGGCAUCAAUAUAUCUAUUUCGAUAUAGAAAGAAUUUGAGGAUUAUCAUGUUUCCAUUAUGAGACGUGGCUCAGCAUAAUUGCAUCCCCAAUGCCAAGCCCACCGAGUUCACUGAAAGCUAUAAGCAGGAGAUCACAAUGAUGCAUAUCGCCGUCACAUUCAGACCCAAAUAUCUAGGAGCUGCGGUCUGGACAUCAUUAACAGGACAGGGCAAAGUCAAGCCUCAGGGGUGGUGGCGACAGCAAUGUGGCCUGCAGGCUAUGGGUCUAGCAGCACGUGGCAGGCAGUAGUGCGCGUGCCCAGUGCUCGCGGCGGCUGGGAUAAUGAAGUACUGGAUCUGCGGUGAACGGCCAUCCGCAAGAUCUACAUCAUCAUCUUUUGAUAAACAAGAUUUAUGAGAUCCCUGCAUUUUUGUUGUGGCACAGAACCACGGAGCGUUUCUUCGGUGUAUCACCCCUCCACAUCUUAAUAAUAACUCAUGUGAAGGUGAUAACACAGAGUCAUCCUCAAGGCGACAAACCUUACAUUUUCUGUAUUGUCAUUACAUAAAACUAAAACCUUCACGAGCGCACUGAUGCUCUUCCUAACGCCCAGCCGCAGCAAGUGUACAUGAAACUUCGCACUUUACAGUUUACAUACAUACUUGCAGUCGUUGGGUUAAAACCCAUCUAUACAUUGUUUUAUGUGUUACAUAUGUUGUCUCCCUACCUUAUAUGGAUAUAAAUACCAAGGCAAAACUAACCUUAUAUGAAUAAAUACUAGG